CUCUUCAGGGCAGGGUGUGAUCCCCGACCGGCGGUAAAGUCCGCGAGCCUUUGGGCUGACCCGGUGAAACUCCGGGACCGACAGUAUAGUCUGGAUGAAAGAAGAC
RNAcentral lists this non-coding RNA (106 nucleotides) under bovine gut metagenome. RNAcentral describes it as "FMN riboswitch (RFN element)". It matches the Rfam family "FMN riboswitch aptamer (RFN element)". From Rfam's summary of the family: The RFN element is a highly conserved domain that is found frequently in the 5'-untranslated regions of prokaryotic mRNAs that encode for flavin mononucleotide (FMN) biosynthesis and transport proteins. This element is a metabolite-dependent riboswitch that directly binds FMN in the absence of proteins. In Bacillus subtilis, the riboswitch most likely controls gene expression by causing premature transcription termination within the 5' untranslated region of the ribDEAHT operon and precluding access to the ribosome-binding site of ypaA mRNA. The record is from RNAcentral.